RNAcentral lists this small RNA (176 nucleotides) under Chelonoidis abingdonii (Abingdon island giant tortoise). RNAcentral's name for it is "TUC338 (ENSCABG00000017970.1)". Lineage: Eukaryota; Metazoa; Chordata; Testudines; Testudinidae. The record is from RNAcentral.
UUGACAGCCUGGGACAGUGAAAUACACAAUCUAUUGACCAGGUACAGGCCUGGCAAUGGCAAUGUAAGCACUCUCAUUCGACCCCCGCCCUACCAAUGUGCCUCAACACUGAUCUGUAGGCACCACUGCAAGGGAUGGGAGGGUAGCUCCUGCUUGCAGCCCAAUCCUUGCCCUCC